Molecule: ribosomal RNA, 1845 nt
Filed under: Triticum aestivum (bread wheat)
Lineage: Eukaryota; Viridiplantae; Streptophyta; Magnoliopsida; Poales; Poaceae
Description: partial small subunit ribosomal RNA
Source: RNAcentral
AUGGUUCUUCCAUUCUCCCCUCUAUCCAUGUGUUUUGAGGAUGUGAACUACUAUGUCGACAUGCCUGCAGAAAUGAAACUAAGAGUGACGGAUGAUAGGCUCCAAUUGUUACGUGGCGUUACUGGAUCAUUUAGACCAGGAGUGCUAACAGCGCUCAUGGGAGUCAGUGGAGCUGGAAAGACGACUCUUAUGGAUGUUUUAGCUGGAAGAAAGACUGGUGGUUAUAUUGAAGGAGAUGUCAGAAUUUCUGGUUAUCCAAAAAACCAAGCAACAUUUGCAAGGAUUUCUGGUUAUUGUGAGCAAAAUGAUAUCCAUUCACCUCAGGUCACGAUUAGAGAAUCUCUUAUAUACUCCGCCUUCUUGCGUCUUCCUGAAAAGAUCGGAGAUCAAGAUAUCACUGAUGAUAUCAAGAUACAAUUUGUUGAUGAAGUUAUGGAGCUAGUGGAGCUUGACAAUCUGAAGGAUGCUUUAGUCGGCCUGCCAGGAAUUUCAGGGCUUUCAACAGAGCAAAGAAAGAGGUUAACUAUAACUGUGGAGCUUGUCGCAAAUCCAUCGAUCAUCUUCAUGGAUGAACCGACAUCAGGUCUUGAUGCAAGAGCAGCAGCAAUUGUUAUGAGAACAGUGAGGAACACUGUUGACACUGGACGGACUGUGGUUUGCACAAUCCACCAGCCAAGCAUUGACAUCUUUGAAGCUUUUGAUGAGUUGCUAUUACUGAAAAGAGGAGGCCAGGUGAUAUACUCUGGGAAACUGGGUCUCAACUCACAGGAAAUGGUCGAAUACUUUGAGGCAAUUCCUGGAGUGCCUAAAAUCAAAGAUAAGUACAAUCCUGCAACAUGGAUGCUUGAGGUCAGUUCAGUUGCUGCAGAAGUACGCUUAAACAUGGAUUUUGCUGACUACUACAAGACUUCAGAUCUGUUUAAGAAAAACAAGGCAUUGGUUAACCGGCUAAGUCAACCAGAACCAGGAACAUCAGAUCUGUAUUUUCCUACAGAAUAUUCUCAAUCCAUUAUUGGGCAGUUCAAAGCCUGCCUCUGGAAGCAUUGGCUGACCUAUUGGCGCAAUCCAGAUUACAACCUCGUCAGAUUUUCCUUCACUUUGUUCACAGCCUUGCUGCUCGGCUCCAUAUUUUGGAAGAUCGGCACCAAUAUCGGAGAUGCCAAUACUCUUAGAAUGGUCAUUGGAGCAAUGUAUACAGCAGUGAUGUUCGUCGGCAUCAACAACUGUUCAAGUGUUCAGCCAAUUGUUUCAAUCGAGAGAACAGUUUUCUACCGAGAGAGGGCUGCUGGGAUGUACUCUGCAAUGCCCUAUGCCAUUGCUCAGGUUGUCAUGGAGAUACCUUAUGUCUUCGUCCAAGCCUCGUAUUACACCCUCAUCAUAUACGCGAUGAUGGGCUUCCAGUGGACAGUUGCCAAGUUCUUCUGGUUCUUCUUCGUCUCCUACUUUUCCUUCCUCUACUUCACCUACUACGGGAUGAUGACUGUAAUCUCACCAAACCAUGAAGUUGCAGCCAUCUUCGCCGCAGCUUUUUAUUCCCUCUUCAACCUUUUCUCUGGAUUCUUCAUCCCGAGACCGAAAAUCCCCAAAUGGUGGAUCUGGUACUACUGGAUUUGCCCAUUGGCAUGGACAGUUUAUGGGCUCAUAGUGACACAAUAUGGAGACCUGGAAGAGACCAUCUCCGUCCCAGGACAAUCAGACCAGCCAAUCAGUUUCUACAUAAGUCAUCACUUUGGAUUCCACAGGAGCUUCAUGGCGGUCGUUGCACCGGUGCUUGUGCUCUUUGCGGUGUUCUUCGCGUUCAUGUAUGCUCUCUGCCUAAAGAAGUUGAGCUUCCAACAACGAUAG